CCUACGGGAGGCUGCCUGGUUGUAACCAACGCCAGACCCGCAGAACACAACGCGCAUUCCGGAUUUAAUCUUGCCUUCCUGGAUGGCAUCGUGGAAAGCUAUCGGGAGGCAGGCCGAACCCAUGUAGCCCCACUUGUCCAUGACAUGGUGGGCUUUUUCAACGGGCAGACCGAGGUUAUCCAUCACGAGCUUGAUGCUGUUAAUGUUCACCUGGGUGAAGAUGAUAUGGUCGAUUUCCUGCAGGUCAAAGCCACCAUUGGCGGCGCACUCGCGCACGCGGGCAGGCCAGCCUUCGUGGUUGACGGUGGGCGGGAAGGGGGUAACCAAUUUCACCUUGGUGCGGCCGGCUUCCACGCUUUCAACCGUGGCGGGCUCGUAGGUGCCACC
RNAcentral lists this ribosomal RNA (387 nucleotides) under uncultured prokaryote. RNAcentral's name for it is "partial 16S ribosomal RNA". The record is from RNAcentral.